UACGGAGGGUGCGAACGUUAAUCGGAAUCACUGGGCGUAAAGCGUGCGCAGGCGGUGAUGUAAGACAGAUGUGAAAUCCCCGGGCUCAACCUGGGAACUGCAUUUGUGACUGCAUCGCUGGAGUACGGCAGAGGGGGAUGGAAUUCCGCGUGUAGCAGUGAAAUGCGUAGAUAUGCGGAGGAACACCGAUGGCGAAGGCAAUCCCCUGGGCCUGUACUGACGCUCAUGCACGAAAGCGUGGGGAGCAAACAGG
This 253-nucleotide ribosomal RNA is filed under the name uncultured bacterium. Its description in RNAcentral is "partial 16S ribosomal RNA". It matches the Rfam family "Bacterial small subunit ribosomal RNA", at positions 524 to 776 of the family's 1533-position model. The record is from RNAcentral.